Molecule: ribosomal RNA, 507 nt
Filed under: uncultured bacterium
Lineage: Bacteria
Description: partial 16S ribosomal RNA
Rfam family: Bacterial small subunit ribosomal RNA
Source: RNAcentral
GACGAACGCUGGCGGCGUGCCUAAUACAUGCAAGUCGAACGCAUUUUCUUUCACCGUAGCUUGCUACACCGAAAGAAAAUGAGUGGCGAACGGGUGAGUAACACGUGGGUAACCUGCCCAUCAGCGGGGGAUAACACUUGGAAACAGGUGCUAAUACCGCAUAAUUCCAUUUACCGCAUGGUAGAUGGGUGAAAGGCGCUUUUGCGUCACUGAUGGAUGGACCCGCGGUGCAUUAGCUAGUUGGUGGGGUAACGGCCUACCAAGGCUGCGAUGCAUAGCCGACCUGAGGGGGUGAUCGGCCACACUGGGACUGAGACACGGCCCAGACUCCUACGGGAGGCAGCAGUAGGGAAUCUUCGGCAAUGGACGCAAGUCUGACCGAGCAACGCCGCGUGAGUGAAGAAGGUUUUCGGAUCGUAAAACUCUGUUGUUAGAGAAGAACAAGGAUGAGAGUGGAAAGUUCAUCCCUUGACGGUAUCUAACCAGAAAGCCACGGCUAACUACGUG